GGAAUUGCCUUAUGAAAGGCUGGUAUUCUACUUAAAAUUGUUUUAUAAAAAUAAAAGCAGUAAUGCAGGCCAGCUCCAAUCAAACCUUUGAUGGUGACUCCUUCCCUGCCUGAGAAUGUGUGAUGAAUGGGCUAGAAACCCUUUGCACCAUGUUGAUUAUUUGUGCUUGUAGGGGAAAAAAAAAUCCCACACAGUGUGAUAGUGGGUGGGAGCAAGUUAACAUAUAUUAAUUAUUCUUUGAUGCCUCAUUUCAGUCCAAUUGUUUAACCCUGGAGGAUUCAGCACUAUUUUCAUAGGUUUUGGACACAAUCCAGCAUCUGUGUAAACACAUUUUUGCCUCAUGGUUCUCCUUCCAGCUCUGGCUUUUCAGACCUUGUACAUCAAAUUAAGAUUUUGUGGACACUUCCUGCAAUGGUUUUACUUCAUGCUAUUAUUUCAGAGGAAAGGAAAGAGAAUUAGAGACCCCACUCCCAAGACUGAAUUUGUCUUCCUUUCCAGCAAAAAUGUUUUCAAAAUCUACUCCCUCUAUCAGGUGGUCUUAAUUAUAUUUUGGAGAUAUUUAGAGGUGAAGUCCAUUAUAGUUGCAGAAAUGUAAGGUUUCAGCGAUAAGUGCAUUCUAGAAACAGUUUCAGAUCAUGUCCUGCAAAAAUCUAUUGAAUCCCAAAUAUUAUUGUUGAGACUGCAAUAAAUGACACUUUUGUAAUUAAUCACAGAUGUACACUCUGAAAGUGUCACCAAAAGGCAAAUAUCCCACUCUGAGGACCACACAUACCACAUAUUAGGACUGGACAUUUGCUCACACGCACAUAGCACCUGGUUCCAUUGGGAAUUCUUGCUUGGAAGCAUGACUGUACCUUCAGAAAAGAUAUCAGCUAAGGGUGCAGCUCAGCUCCUUGUGCAGUGCAAGCGUCCAACAGAAAAUUAAGGGACUUUUAGCGCAGUUUUCAAACUGGGCUGGUGGUGCAUUGCUGCCACACACCCCAGGGGCAUUCUUGCUCUGUGACUUGAUGUCUUCUGGGGCCAUGUGGUAUGGUCCUGUAUGGUGAACAGCAAAUUGGAAAUCAGAAAGAAUAAGGUAGCCUAAUGAGGUCAAGGCAGCUCUCGACCUCAACAGCAACCUUGAAUUGAGAACAGAGAGUCCAUGACAGGGAAGUUCUGGAAAAUCCUGAAGUACAAGGGCUCUUUAGGUACAUGGAAAGUUGAGCUGAAGGCAACUUGGACUGACUUCUUGUUCUAGAAAUUAUGGCCAGGCCUUGUUAUGGCUUUGCAGCUUAAUUCUAUAAGUAGCCCAGUGAAGCAGAGGAGUAGGAAUGAUUUCUAUUUUGAUGCAGAGUGUAAUUAAGGCAAAUAUCAUUGAUGCUUUCUCUUUCCAAAAUGUCUAAAGCAGUAACUGAUACUGGGAUUUGCAUUGAGUGCUUUCUACUGUCUCAUCUCUGUUCGUUUUCCUAAACCAUGUUGCUUUGUACAGAUUUAAUUACAUACAAAUAAAGUUCAGAAAAUGA
This 1502-nucleotide long non-coding RNA is filed under the name Strigops habroptila (Kakapo). Its description in RNAcentral is "lncRNA (ENSSHBG00005006726.1)". Lineage: Eukaryota; Metazoa; Chordata; Aves; Psittaciformes; Psittacidae. The record is from RNAcentral.